This 3711-nucleotide long non-coding RNA is filed under the name Nicotiana benthamiana. RNAcentral describes it as "long non-coding RNA (NBEN_LNC028496)". The record is from RNAcentral. Lineage: Eukaryota; Viridiplantae; Streptophyta; Magnoliopsida; Solanales; Solanaceae.
UGACAUCUACCUUGGAACAAGCAAAGGAAUGCUUGUAUCCAAAGAUUUAGAUCUUCACACAUGUAUAUAGUUGCUAAAACUCAUCCACUCUUCAAGGGUUGUUGUUUCAUAGUUGAUAUUUCAGAAAGAGUUUCUGCAUCAACAAGCAAUGAACAUGUCAACACAAAAACUCAACAUGGCAAUCAAGACAAAUACUAACAAAUAAUGAAAAUAGAUAUGGUUGAAGCUCAACCAUUAAAUGAAGAUGUGUUUCAAACAUUUGAUUCUAUUCAAGUAGAAGGACAAAGAUAGAGAUUGACAACGAACAAGCUUUGGUCAUUCAAGUCUUAGAGAGUGCACCGGUAAUCGAAGAAGUUUCUGAAAAAAAUUGCACUCAACUAACUAGACGAAGAUCAAAUUUGAAACAAAAAGAAUCCCCAACUACGAUAUUAAGAGAAAAUGCUACUCAACUAAGUAGACAAAGACCAAAUUUGAAACAAAAAGAAUCCUCAACUACGAUAUUAAGAGAAAAUGCUUCGUUGGAAAAAAUAAAAGUCGGAUCAGUAUUUGACAAGAAGAAGAGUAUAGCAAUUGGACCAUUUUUAAAGCCAAAAAUCAACCCAAACUAUAAUUUUUCUACUCAAAUCCACACAACCCAAGCUAAUUCCUUUUACCCUUAGCUUAAUAUUAAUUGUUUUUCAAUAUAGCAAUCAAAGGACAUUUUGAAUUCAAGGUUGUUAGAUCAAGCUCAACGAGAUAUUCGUUGACAUGUAAUGAUGAUAGGUGUUGUUGGUGUGUGCGUGCUUUCAGAGUUUAAGAUUCAACACUGUUCAAGAUAGUCAAGAUUGAGAAAAAGCAUAACUGCUCUGUUAACACUAUGAAAGCAGAUCAAAGGCAUGCUACUUCAAAGUUGAUUAGUGGUUAAAUUAUCGACAAUCUUUGGGACCCAAAAUUUGAAGUUGCACCAGCUUUUGUCAUGGUAGAGAUGCAAAAAUUGCAUCGACUAGACAUUGGAUAUCACAAAGCGGGGCGUGCUAUUCAACAUGCUUCCGCAUUAAUUAGAGGAGGUCCCCAAGAGAAUUAUGAAUUAUUGUCUUCAUACUUGUACAUGAUGACAAGUAAAAACUCGGGAACUUAUACUAACAUAAAGAUAAACGACAACAACGGGUAAACAAUAAAAAAAAAGUUUAUUAGUACGUUUUAUAAAAUUUAGGACAUGCUGUCUUUAACCAUGUUAACUUUUUAGUUGUAACUAGAUGUUCAGGAAUGGUUGUCCUUAAGUUUUGAACUUGUUAUUCAAAUUUAAGGAUUGCCGGAUCUUAAGUUUUGAACUUUGAAAUCAAAGUUAAGGACCACAUAUUCCUUAACUUUAUAACUUGGAAAUGUAAGUUAAGGACUGACUGUCUUAAACUUCUGUUAACCUUUUUUUAUAUUGUAUUUUCAGGUUUCUUUAUAUAUUUUAUGCAUAUGGAUCAUCAAUAGCUGGUUGGGAUCAUUGUAGACCAGUGAUUGUUGUUGAUGCAACAUUUUUGAAGCCAAAAUUUUGUGGUGUUUUAAUGAUUUCAGUUUCAAAUGAUACAAAUAACCAAAUUUUCCCACUAGCCUUUGGAAUAGCAGAAUCUGAAAAUAACAACUCCUAUGAGUGGUACUUUAGUCAGCUUCGCAAUGCAAUUGGGAGCCGUGAGAAUUUAAUUUUUUUAUUAGACAUGCAUCAAGCUAUUGCAAAUGGCAUUACAAAGGUAUAUCCUAAAAACCAUCAUGGGAUUUGCGUCUAUCAUUUAGAGCAGAACCUAAUGUAGCACCUCCUUUUUCCGCACUCCACGAGGGUACAUGAGUUUUUUCCAAUUAAAGGACAGUCGAAUGGGAUUGGUUUAUUAAGUUUAGAGUCCCCACUUGGGAGAUUUAUGGUGUCCCAGGUCACCGGUUGAAUCCCGAAUCGAGGAAAAGAUUGACUCUGUUUAACAGUCCUUGAACUAGAAAUCCGGAUAAGGAAUUUUGUUAACCCGGGAGAAGGUGUUACGCAUUUCCGAGUUCCGUGGUUCUAGCACGGUCACUCAACUGUUAUAUUCAGCUUAUUUAUCUGAUUUUAACAAUUAUGUACUUAGUGCAAAUUGUGACUUGUUACCGCUUUUAUUAUUGUUAUUAUUAUUUUCGAAAAGAAUUGCAACGUUGUAAAAAUGUAUCUCGAACCACGUCACAACCAGUGUACACAUAGUCGUCGACACAUUUCGACUCCACUGAGAUUUGGAUUUUGAGUUACAUCAAUGUACACCCGAAUUUAAGAAAAUAAUUUAUUAAAGAUGCGCCUACAGCGACUAGCGUAUAGUUAUUUUGGGUAAGGCCGUGAAAUUAGAUAAACGGCCCAUCCCGAAGUCUAAGUAUCUUUACAAUCACGUGUAGAGGCCCCCACGAUUAUGUUUUUGUUUGGCACGACGCAUCUUUAUUUAUUCUAACCAAAAGGCUUUUCAAUUAGAUCACGAGGGCCAUAAGUUAUGGAUUUUCUUGAGAAUGGCACGCUUCACAUUACUAAAUAUUACCUUAAAUAUGCAAAUAUUACAAUGAUAAACACACUGCUACUCAAAAACGAAAAAUGGUCCUAUAGUUAACAGAAAUUCCUAAAAGAUUAAUGGUGAACAAUAAUAAACUAUUAGUCCUAUAGUUAACGGAAAUUCCUAAAAAAUUAAUGGUGAACAAUAAUAAACUAUCGUUCCUUAAGGAAAGAGCACAUAUUAUCAAAUUAACCGUACAUUAACAAAUGACGAAGUGUACACCUUCAUAAUACACUCAUUCCAUCAGAACCAAACAUGAAACGUCAAAGUAAAACAAUACUAAUGCUACUGCUCUUUCUUCUAAUCAGCAUCACACAAACGAUAUUAACAGAGGAAAAGAAGUAGAAUAUUUGAAUGGAAACGAACAUCUAUGGUUACCAUCUGUGCAAUGGAAUUCUGUUCAUAGCUCCCGGCAUUUGACUAGUUUUCAUUUUUAUUUUUAUCAACAAUAUAACACGAGUUUAAAUAUAAACAACAAUAAAACAUGAGAAAAUUAAGUAAACAAAAACUUAUUUAAUCUUCUUCAUUUCUGAGCAAACUAACCGAGAAACAGGUCGAACGAAUCGAUACGGACAGAGCAACAACUGACCGGAAAAACUCGAACCUCGACGGAACCCACAAAUAGAGCUUUGGACAAGUUAGACAGCAACCUCAGACGAUGACGCUUCCGCCGAGUUAGGAGCUGGAACGUUUGGUUCAAGCUGGCGGUGUGACGACGAGCUGUGACGCUGAAACAGCCGCAACGGCAGCGUGAAGGGCUGUGCGUGUGUGAUGGUGACGAUGAAGCUGGCUGUUUGGACGACGGGGUUAUGGAGCUGGUCGACGAGGCAGUUGUGAAGGAGAAGAAUGACUGAACAGUGGUCGUGGACAAGAAGGGGUGGUCGCGUGAGCUGGGUGAUGGACUGUUGGCCGGAAAACUGGUGGUCAGCGAACGGGAAUGGAGGUCGUUUGGAGGGGUGACGACUGGAAGGGUGUUUUUUGUCGUGGGUUUGUAAAAAAAUGAACCAGAUGAAUGAAUAGUAGUAUUUUUUCUUCCAAAAUGUGUAAUCAAAAUCUGAUGAAAACCCCUUCCCAAAAAUGCCUCUCACUUCUCUCCUCCUCAAAAUCGGAAUGCCCCUCUUAUUAUGUCUGUGUGUUCUAAGUCUAUGGGAGUGGUUGGGAUAGGUAGCGAGUGGUUGGGAGA